Molecule: unclassified non-coding RNA, 2336 nt
Filed under: Leishmania donovani
Lineage: Eukaryota; Euglenozoa; Kinetoplastea; Trypanosomatida; Trypanosomatidae
Description: gene:LdHU3.35.3350(CDS-product:Double_RNA_binding _domain_protein_9)
Source: RNAcentral
UGGUGCCGCUGCACUUCAUCGGCUACGCCUCACCUCUCGUUCUCUCUGGCACCUCUGCUUUGUGCGUGCUGCUGCGUAGUUGCUACACGUUCCACGUAUCCACGCUCAGGAGCCUCUAGCACACCAGGUCCAUUGUCCAACGGCAAUCGCAAUCCAGGAACAUGGCGGACUCUUCGUGGACGUCUGCUGCUGCCGCUUCGGCGGCUACCGCUGCCCCCGCCUUUGAUUUCCAACCCCUCCAGAAGAGCAGUGUCGACCUCUUUGCUACGGCGCCGCAGGUGAAGAAGCUCACUCGGCGUGAGAAAGACAAGAUGCUGCGCGAGCUGGAGGUGAAACGAGCCAAACAGCGCGCCGUCGCUGACUCCAAUGACGCGGCCGACAAGGGUAGGAAGGGGCAGCCGAGGCAGAGCGACAGGAGCGCCGCGGUGGCGGAGGUCGUACGCUCCGCCACUACCUCGUCCUCGUCCGGUGACGCCAGUGAUGCCGGAAACAAGGGUGAGAGGAAGAAAGGUCUCUUCGAGACCGUUUUCGACACAAAGGAGGUGGAACAAGAGCUCGCCGCCCAGGAGGAUCGCCGCAACCGGAAGCGCUCGAAGAAGCAGGUGCUCCGACACGCACUGCACUCCAACGAAGAGGAGGACGCACGCACGGUCUUCGUGGGCAAUUUACCGAACACCAUCCACAAGCGCGAUGUGGAGAAGAUUUUCAAGUCAUGCGGCAGCAUCACGGCGGUCCGCAUCCGCUGCCAGGCGCUAGAGGAGCUCGACGAGAAGCACCAAAAUCUGGGUCGCGCCGUGCGUGUACUGCGCGGCGAAAUCAAGAAGGACGCUAAAUACAGUGCAACGGCGUACGUCCUCUUCGACUCAGCCAAAUCUAUCGUAUCGGCCCUGGAAAAGAACGGGUUGGUCUUCCACAACCGCCACCUGGUCGUGACGACAAUGGACGUCGAGAGUCGUGCGUACCCGCCGGAGACGUCCAUCUUCCUCGGCAACGUGGCCUACAACACGACGGAGGAGGAUGUGUGGAGCUUCUUUCAGGAGCACGGCAUCGCAGAUGUGAAGCGAGUCCGCCUGGUGCGGGAUCGCGAGACAGGCGACUGCAAGGGCUUCGGUUACGUGGAGUUUAUGCAUGCCUCAUCUGUCCAACCUGCCAUAGAGACCCGCGGCGACAAGCUUAAUGGGCGCGAGCUGCGCAUCGUGCACGUUAACAAGUCAAAGGAGGUGAAGGUGGCGACGAAGAGCCGACGCGAGAAGCGACGCAGUGAGCACGCCGGCGGCCGUGUCAGUGCAGAGGAGCGCAAGCGAUCCCGCAGCGGAGGCGACGCUGACGGUGGCAGUAGAGGCAGCCCAGACUACUCCCACGUCAAGAAACCGCGCACCGAGUCCGACCUUCCUUCGUGGGCGGGCUUAACAACAAACCCGCGGCGCAAGAUGCCGAAGGACCUGCGGCCGCUUGUGGAGGGCAAGGUAGAGUUCAAGCCGCGCGGCCCACGCGCGCCAGUGAAGCGGAAGAAGCGCAACCCAGAGAAGUAAGGGCACCCCCGCGCGGAGACGAGCUGGAGCUGAACUGUGGUAGCCGGCCGCCGAUGCACCGAGUGAGCUCGGCGAGAUAGGAACGACAGAUGGCUUCGAACAGUCAUGCUUUGAUAGCCGAAAAAAAAAAACGAAGAGAGGCGGACUUUGAGAUGCACGGUAUGUGUGUACCCUACCAAUGACAGAGGACAUCACCCGACCUGAAAAGAGUCGCUGAGCGCGGCCGUCCGUGUAACGUGCUAAGCAGGUCAUCUAAGGUGGUAUCCUGCAUUGCUUCUGUUAAGAAAUCAUGCGUCUUGACCUCGAUUAAGGGAGUGCAACUAAUUACGAUACAAAGAAGCAAGAAGCAAAACGUGCGGUGACAACGGCAUGGCGAAUCCCUCUCGUGUCCUACGUGUCGACUUCUUCUUCACGACCCGUCAGCGGCUUGCUGCUCGUGGUGUGAACAAGAGGAUCACCGGGCGGAUCUAGAGUUCAUGGAGAGCCAUGCGCGUUUGGACGCCGUAGCUGCUGCCCCUUCGUUCUCAAGCCAAAUACGAGACAGACUUCACCGCCGCCAUGCGAUUGAAGCGUGUGGCGUAUAGUACCUUCUUCGGCUGCUGUUGAGAAACACAGAAGUCACAAGGCACACACACACACACACACACACACUACUUCUAACGCUCCGCCCUCUCAGGACUUCGACUUUAUGCCUCUUGAACUCCUCCUCCGGCGCUUUCCUCUUCUUUUUUUCAUCGGUGCCCACUUCAUCUACCGUCUCUAUCCUCUUUCAAUGACUAACCUCUCAACACUAUGACGAGGAAG